UAGGGAAUCUUCGGCAAUGGACGAAAGUCUGACCGAGCAACGCCGCGUGAGUGAAGAAGGUUUUCGGAUCGUAAAACUCUGUUGUUAGAGAAGAACAAGGACGUUAGUAACUGAACGUCCCCUGACGGUAUCUAACCAGAAAGCCACGGCUAACUACGUGCCAGCAGCCGCGGUAAUACGUAGGUGGCAAGCGUUGUCCGGAUUUAUUGGGAGUAAAGCGAGCGCAGGCGGUUUCUUAAGUCUGAUGUGAAAGCCCCCGGCUCAACCGGGGAGGGUCAUUUGAAACUGGGAGACUUGAGUGCAGAAGAGGAGAGUGGAAUUCCAUGUGUAGCGGUGAAAUGCGUAGAUAUAUGGAGGAACACCAGUGGCGAAGGCGGCUCUCUGGUCUGUAACUGACGAUGAGGCUCGAAAGCGUGGGGAGCAAACAGG
This 429-nucleotide ribosomal RNA is filed under the name Gemmatimonadota bacterium. RNAcentral's name for it is "Gemmatimonadetes bacterium partial 16S ribosomal RNA". It matches the Rfam family "Bacterial small subunit ribosomal RNA", at positions 355 to 776 of the family's 1533-position model. Lineage: Bacteria; Pseudomonadati; Gemmatimonadota. The record is from RNAcentral.